Molecule: ribosomal RNA, 636 nt
Filed under: uncultured bacterium
Lineage: Bacteria
Description: bacterial SSU rRNA
Rfam family: Bacterial small subunit ribosomal RNA
Source: RNAcentral
UAAAGAAUUUCGGUAUGGGAUGGGGAUGCGUUCCAUUAGUUAGUUGGCGGGGUAACGGCCCACCAAGACAACGAUGGAUAGGGGUUCUGAGAGGAAGGUCCCCCACAUUGGAACUGAGACACGGUCCAAACUCCUACGGGAGGUAGCAGUGAGGAAUAUUGGUCAAUGGACGAGAGUCUGAACCAGCCAAGUAGCGUGAAGGAUGACUGCCCUAUGGGUUGUAAACUUCUUUUAUAUGGGAAUAAAAUGUUCCACGUGUGGGAUUUUGUAUGUACCAUAUGAAUAAGGAUCGGCUAACUCCGUGCCAGCAGCCGCGGUAAUACGGAGGAUCCGAGCGUUAUCCGGAUUUAUUGGGUUUAAAGGGAGCGUAGGUGGAUUGUUAAGUCAGUUGUGAAAGUUUGCGGCUCAACCGUAAAAUUGCAGUUGAAACUGGCAGUCUUGAGUACAGUAGAGGUGGGCGGAAUUCGUGGUGUAGCGGUGAAAUGCUUAGAUAUCACGAAGAACUCCGAUUGCGAAGGCAGCUCACUGGACUGCAACUGACACUGAGGCUCGAAAGUGUGGGUAUCAAACAGGAUUAGAUACCCUGGUAGUCCACACAGUAAACGAUGAAUACUCGCUGUUUGCGAUAUACAGUAA